RNAcentral lists this long non-coding RNA (511 nucleotides) under Citrus maxima (pomelo). RNAcentral's name for it is "long non-coding RNA (CMAX_LNC002616)". The record is from RNAcentral. Lineage: Eukaryota; Viridiplantae; Streptophyta; Magnoliopsida; Sapindales; Rutaceae.
GGCUACAAAUGACAAGAACCGAGUCAGCAAGAGACAGCCAGGGUGCACCCCUUUCCAGCAACUAGACCAAAGCUGGUUUGAGCCAACAUGAGCCUAAUGGGUGGCACGUACGAACCCAUCACCGUCAGCUUGAGCUGCUAGCAGGCUUUCAUAAAUGGUAUUGUCAUCGCAUCUGGAGGCACUUUCCUUCCUCCAGAGAAUCCAUAAGGAGCCUAUAUAUGCAGCAACCACAAUGCCAAAACAAAUAAAAUCGUACCAGUACACCACUAACGCCAUGGCAAGGCUUCAACCAGUAUGCACUAGUCCUGAAAUCGGAAAAUUGAAAAAAUGAUCUGACUGUUUCAAAGAGAGGAACUGAAAUUGAUAUUGGUUUUGGGUAUAAUUAAACUCUAGAACAUCUGAACACAUGUUUAGAGGAGAAAUACUUUUAGGUGAUGGCUUGACAUAGGACUAUUAGUUUUGACUGUCUGGUUUAAUUAGCUUUCGAAACGUGAACGUUAAGGAAUUGUCA